GACGAACCGUGCGAACGUUGUUCGGAAUCACUGGGCUUAAAGGGCGCGUAGGCGGGCGGCCGCGUCCGGGGUGAAAUCCCGCCGCUCAACGGCGGAACGGCCUCGGAUACGGGCGGACUCGAGGGGGGUAGGGGCGUGCGGAACUCUGGGUGGAGCGGUGAAAUGCGUUGAUAUCCAGAGGAACUCCGGUGGCGAAGGCGGCACGCUGGACCCCUUCUGACGCUGAGGCGCGAAAGCCAGGGGAGCAAACGGG
RNAcentral lists this ribosomal RNA (253 nucleotides) under uncultured bacterium. Its description in RNAcentral is "partial 16S ribosomal RNA". It matches the Rfam family "Bacterial small subunit ribosomal RNA", at positions 524 to 776 of the family's 1533-position model. The record is from RNAcentral.